AACAGUGAUGUGGAGCAAAUCCCUAAAAGACCGUCUCAGUUCAGAUUGCAGGCUGCAACCCGCCCUGCAUGAAGUCGGAAUUGCUAGUAAUCGCGGAUCAGCAUGCCGCGGUGAAUACGUUCCCGGGCCUUGCACACACCGCCCGUCACACCAUGAGAGUCGGGAACACCCGAAGUCCGUAGCCUAACAGCAAUGAGGGCGCGGCCGAAGGUGGGUUCGAUAAUUGGGGUGAAGUCGUAACAAGGUAAC
Molecule: ribosomal RNA, 249 nt
Filed under: uncultured bacterium
Lineage: Bacteria
Description: partial 16S ribosomal RNA
Rfam family: Bacterial small subunit ribosomal RNA
Source: RNAcentral